RNAcentral lists this ribosomal RNA (560 nucleotides) under uncultured bacterium. RNAcentral describes it as "bacterial SSU rRNA". It matches the Rfam family "Bacterial small subunit ribosomal RNA", at positions 8 to 556 of the family's 1533-position model. The record is from RNAcentral.
CAGAGUUUGAUCCUGGCUCAGAGUGAACGCUGGCGGUAGGCCUAACACAUGCAAGUCGAACGGCAGCACAGGAGAGCUUGCUCUCUGGGUGGCGAGUGGCGGACGGGUGAGGAAUACAUCGGAAUCUACUUUUUCGUGGGGGAUAACGUAGGGAAACUUACGCUAAUACCGCAUACGACCUACGGGUGAAAGCAGGGGAUCUUCGGACCUUGCGCGAUUGAAUGAGCCGAUGUCGGAUUAGCUAGUUGGCGGGGUAAAGGCCCACCAAGGCGACGAUCCGUAGCUGGUCUGAGAGGAUGAUCAGCCACACUGGAACUGAGACACGGUCCAGACUCCUACGGGAGGCAGCAGUGGGGAAUAUUGGACAAUGGGCGCAAGCCUGAUCCAGCCAUACCGCGUGGGUGAAGAAGGCCUUCGGGUUGUAAAGCCCUUUUGUUGGGAAAGAAAUCCAGCUGGCUAAUACCCGGUUGGGAUGACGGUACCCAAAGAAUAAGCACCGGCUAACUUCGUGCCAGCAGCCGCGGUAAUACGAAGGGUGCAAGCGUUACUCGGAAUUACUG